This 1792-nucleotide ribosomal RNA is filed under the name Candidatus Dojkabacteria bacterium. RNAcentral describes it as "partial 23S ribosomal RNA". It matches the Rfam family "Bacterial large subunit ribosomal RNA", at positions 1 to 1721 of the family's 2925-position model. The record is from RNAcentral.
GAAAUUUAAGAGUAUAUGGUGGAUGCCUAGACUAAAAAAGGCGACGAAAGACGUAGCAUGGCGGCGAUACGUUUCGGGGAGGUGCCAAGCAACCUUUGAUCCGGAAAUUUCUGAAUGGGGGAACCCUUCCAAGUAAACCUUGGAAACUCCUGCACUUAAGAUGCAUGGAGAGCAAACCCGGGGAAGUAAAACAUUUCAGUACCCGGUGGAAAAGAGAACAAUAGUUAUUUCCUUAGUAGCGGCGAGCGAAAAGGGAAGAGCCCAAACCGAGUGUCGCAAGACACAAGGGGUUGUAAGGUGACAAUGUAGAUUUAUCUAGAGAAGUUACAAAAUGUGUUAUUAGAUUAAACUUCUGGAAAGAAGUGCCACAGAUGGUGAUAGCCCAGUGGUCGAAAAUUUCACAUCUUCUUUAUUGUCAUUCUUGAGUAGCUCAAGACACGAAUAGCUUGAGUGAAUCUGCCAGCACUAACUGGUAAGGCUAAAUACUUUUUUAGAUCGAUAGUGAACUAGUACCGUGAGGGAAAGGUGAAAAGAACCCCGAUGAGGGGAGUGAAAUAGACCUGAAACCAUAUACUUACAAGGAGUCGGAGCGGAUGCCACUUUAUUCUUAAUCUAAUGAUUGAGACUAAAGUGGUGUCCGUCACGGCGUGCCUAUUGAAGAAUGAGCCAACGAGUUUAUCUAUGCUGCAGGCUAAGCUGUUAGAACAGUGGAGCCCUAGGGAAACCGAGUGUUAAUAGCGCGAAAAAAUUAUGUAGUCUAGAUAAGACCCGAAGCCAGGUGAGCUUGCCAUGAGCAGGGUGAAGUUUGUCUAACGACAGAUGGAGGCCCGAACCAAUAACCCGUGCAAUAGUUUUGGAUGACUUGUGGUAGGGAGUGAAAAGCUAAUCGAACCUGGUAAUAGCUGGUUCUCUCCGAAAUAGCUUUAGGGCUAGCGUCGUGUGUUCCUCUUGGGGGUAGAGCACUGGAAGGUUUCGACAGGGAGCAAUCUCGCGAAUUCUAUCAAACUCCGAAUACCAAGAGUUAAAAGCACGGCAGUUAGGCUACGGGGGCGAAGCUCCGUUAGCCAAAAGGGAAACAGCCCAGAUCUCAAAUUAAGGUCCCUAAAUUUAUGUUAAGUGCAAAACAAGGAGGUAAAAUUUCUCUGACAAUGAGGAUGUUGGCUUAGAAGCAGUCAUCAUUUAAAGAAAGCGUAACAGCUCACUCAUCUAGAGAUUUCGCACCGAAAAUAAUCGGGGCUAAACAUAAUACCGAAAUUGAGGAUUUCUAUUUUAUUUUAUGAAAUAGAAGUGGUAGGAGAGUGUUCCACAUUGCGCCGAAGCCAAAGGGGUGACCCAUGGUGGAGUAUGUGGAAGUAAGAAUGUUGGCACAAGUAACCGCAAGGAAGGUGAGAUCCCUUCCCGCCGAAAGAUCAAGGUUUCCUGGGCAACGGUGAUCGUCCCAGGGUUAGUCGGUCCUAAGGAGAUGACGAAAGUCGUAUUCGAUGGACAGCUGGUUAAUAUUCCAGCACUUCUGUUUUAUUCGAAGAUAGGACGGAGUGUAGUAUAUAAAGCUCAUUAUUGGAUUUGAGUUUGUUAGUAAGGGUGGCUUCUAGGAAAAUCCGGAAGCUGACGUAAAAGUAACACCCAAGCGAAGCAUAAAUGUUUCGGUUCGCCGAGGCAAAUUUUAUAAAGCACGCUUCCAAGAAAAGUAUCUAAGGUUAAUAAAAUAGAAUCCGUACCGCAAACCGACACAGGUGAUCAGGUCGAGUAGACCAAGGCGAACGAGUGAGAGGUCUUCAAGGAACUCGGCAAA